GACGAACGCUGGCGGCGUGCUUAACACAUGCAAGUCGAACGGAAAGGCCCUGCUUUUGUGGGGUGCUCGAGUGGCGAACGGGUGAGUAACACGUGAGUAACCUGCCCUUGAUUUUGGGAUAACUUCAGGAAACUGGGGCUAAUACCGGAUAGGAGCUCCUGCUGCAUGGUGGGGGUUGGAAAGUUUCGGCGGUUGGGGAUGGACUCGCGGCUUAUCAGCUUGUUGGUGGGGUAGUGGCUUACCAAGGCUUUGACGGGUAGCCGGCCUGAGAGGGUGACCGGCCACAUUGGGACUGAGAUACGGCCCAGACUCCUACGGGAGGCAGCAGUGGGGAAUAUUGCACAAUGGGCGGAAGCCUGACGCAGCAACGCCGCGUGCGGGAUGACGGCCUUCGGGUUGUAAACCGCUUUCGCCUGUGACGAAGCGUGAGUGACGGUAAUGGGUAAAGAAGCACCGGCUAACUACGUG
Molecule: ribosomal RNA, 468 nt
Filed under: uncultured bacterium
Lineage: Bacteria
Description: partial 16S ribosomal RNA
Rfam family: Bacterial small subunit ribosomal RNA
Source: RNAcentral